This 305-nucleotide ribosomal RNA is filed under the name uncultured bacterium. RNAcentral describes it as "partial 16S ribosomal RNA". It matches the Rfam family "Archaeal small subunit ribosomal RNA", at positions 455 to 760 of the family's 1478-position model. The record is from RNAcentral.
ACAGCAGCCGCCGCGGGAACACCAGCACCUCGAGUGGUCAGGAGGUUUAUUGGGCCUAAAGCAUCCGUAGCCGGUUGCAUAAGUUUUCGGUUAAAUCUAUGCGCUUAACGUAUAGGCCGCCGAAAAUACUGUGCAGCUAGGGAGUGGGAGAGGUACACGGUACUCGAUAGGAAGGGGUAAAAUCCUUUGAUCUAUUGAUGACCACCUGUGGCGAAGGCGGUGUACCAGAACACGUUCGACGGUGAGGGAUGAAAGCUGGGGGAGCAAACAGGAUUAGAUACCCCAGUAGUCCCUGUCUCUUAUAC